AGAGUUUGAUCCUGGCUCAGGAUGAACGCUGGCGGCGUGCCUAAUACAUGCAAGUCGAGCGAACGGACGAGAAGCUUGCUUCUCUGAUGUUAGCGGCGGACGGGUGAGUAACACGUGGAUAACCUACCUAUAAGACUGGGAUAACUUCGGGAAACCGGAGCUAAUACCGGAUAAUAUUUUGAACCGCAUGGUUCAAAAGUAAAAGACGGUCUUGCUGUCACUUAUAGAUGGAUCCGCGCUGCAUUAGCUAGUUGGUAAGGUAACGGCUUACCAAGGCAACGAUGCAUAGCCGACCUGAGAGGGUGAUCGGCCACACUGGAACUGAGACACGGUCCAGCCUCCUACGGGAGGCAGCAGUAGGGAAUCUUCCGCAAUGGGCGAAAGCCUGACGGAGCAACGCCGCGUGAGUGAUGAAGGUCUUCGGAUCGUAAAACUCUGUUAUUAGGGAAGAACAUAUGUGUAAGUAACUGUGCACAUCUUGACGGUACCUAAUCAGAAAGCCACGGCUAACUACGUGCCAGCAGCCGCGGUAAUACGUAGGUGGCAAGCGUUAUCCGGAAUUAUUGGGCGUAAAGCGCGCGUAGGCGGUUUUUUAAGUCUGAUGUGAAAGCCCACGGCUCAACCGUGGAGGGUCAUUGGAAACUGGAAAACUUGAGUGCAGAAGAGGAAAGUGGAAUUCCAUGUGUAGCGGUGAAAUGCGCAGAGAUAUGGAGGAACACCAGUGGCGAAGGCGACUUUCUGGUCUGUAACUGACGCUGAUGUGCGAAAGCGUGGGGAUCAAACAGGAUUAGAUACCCUGGUAGUCCACGCCGUAAACGAUGAGUGCUAAGUGUUAGGGGGUUUCCGCCCCUUAGUGCUGCAGCUAACGCAUUAAGCACUCCGCCUGGGGAGUACGACCGCAAGGUUGAAACUCAAAGGAAUUGACGGGGACCCGCACAAGCGGUGGAGCAUGUGGUUUAAUUCGAAGCAACGCGAAGAACCUUACCAAAUCUUGACAUCCUUUGACAACUCUAGAGAUAGAGC
This 1023-nucleotide ribosomal RNA is filed under the name Staphylococcus aureus M0215. Its description in RNAcentral is "bacterial SSU rRNA". It matches the Rfam family "Bacterial small subunit ribosomal RNA", at positions 8 to 1012 of the family's 1533-position model. The record is from RNAcentral. Lineage: Bacteria; Bacillati; Bacillota; Bacilli; Caryophanales; Staphylococcaceae.